Gossypium arboreum is the source of this 346-nucleotide long non-coding RNA. RefSeq lists it as uncharacterized. Lineage: Eukaryota; Viridiplantae; Streptophyta; Magnoliopsida; Malvales; Malvaceae. The transcript has 2 exons. The record is from RefSeq and is a predicted model, not a curated record.
CAUCUUUAUGUUUCUUUCUUCCACCGAAAUGAAGAAAAAUGGGCAGCCAUGGAUGAGCAUGAUAUUCGGCCAAGCUUCUAUGGCUCAUCUAGAUUUUGCUCGUUAGCGAUCGGAUUCGGGAUCAUAGAAGUUGAAGUCAACCACACUAUCAAAGCCCUUUUGGUACUCCUUUAGUUGAGUUUUGGAUAUGGCAUGUAUAGGACCACCCUCGGUUGUUUUAAGUACUUUGUGAUGUAUAUGUGUGCGGCCAUGCGAAAAUGGUUCGUAAAAGUGGAGUAUGGAAUUUGACCAUAUGUGGUUUGUAAUUAUAUUUGGUUUCAUGAUGUGAUUAUGGUUUGGAAUGAGA